Molecule: long non-coding RNA, 478 nt
Organism: Coturnix japonica (Japanese quail)
Lineage: Eukaryota; Metazoa; Chordata; Aves; Galliformes; Phasianidae
Source: RefSeq, a predicted model, not a curated record
UUCAUUCUCACUUUGACUCUAAGACCAAAGACAUUCUCCUCUUCUUUCUAGUGGAAAUGAACAAAAUGAAAGCAAAAAGUAAGGCAAAAUCUUCUCCCUGACAUCCAGCAAUGGAGCCAGUGACAACUGAGAGAAAGAAAAGCUCAUUCAUUCUCAAGCAUGGCCUGGCAUGGCACAACAAAGUGUUCUGGCACAAAGGGUGAUUUACAGUCUCUAUCCAGGGGCAGAAGAUUUCCAGGAAUUAGGGAGAUGGGGAAGCCAAGUCCCUUCCAUUCUUGAUGACACCCUGUCUGUGCCUGGUUCUGCAGGGUGAAACUAAUACUCAACUAAUGUCAGUGAGAUGAACAGAGCGCAAGAAAACAUUACAAGAAGAACUCUUCUAGAAAACAUGGAAACUUGAUGAUCAUUUGGAGGAAGGAAAAAGCACAGCAAUACUUUGCCCACAGCUGAAACUAAUAAAGUACUUUUUUUUCUUGUU